Molecule: long non-coding RNA, 269 nt
Filed under: Callithrix jacchus (white-tufted-ear marmoset)
Lineage: Eukaryota; Metazoa; Chordata; Mammalia; Primates; Cebidae
Description: lncRNA (ENSCJAG00000078016.1)
Source: RNAcentral
UUUAAUGAGGUGCAAAGGAAAAAUGACUUUCAUAAGUUCACAUAGCUGUAAUUAUAUUGUCUCCCGUGUUCACCACCCUCACAGACCUGUCCGGAUCUUCUGUCAUCACUACAAUAGAAGACAAGGGGAUGAGCUGAUAAGAGUCUACAUUUGCUACUUACUUCAAUAUUUACACAACGACCGAAGCUGAUUGAGCAGGAAUAAUGAGACUUUGACAUUCUGCACUGCACAAGGUAAAGGAAAACUUGUUUCCACUGGGUGGAGUUUGU